GACGGUAUAGCUCAGUGGUAGAGUGCAUGCCUAGUAUGCAGGAGGUCCUGGGUUCAAGCCCCGGUACCUUCG
Molecule: transfer RNA, 72 nt
Filed under: Camelus bactrianus (Bactrian camel)
Lineage: Eukaryota; Metazoa; Chordata; Mammalia; Artiodactyla; Camelidae
Also listed under: 2 other names
Rfam family: tRNA
About the family: Transfer RNA (tRNA) molecules are approximately 80 nucleotides in length.
Source: Rfam by way of RNAcentral